CGUAGGUGACAAGCGCUGUCCGGAUUUAUUGGGCGUAAAGCGAGCGCAGGCGGGUCCGGUAAGUCUGAUGUGAAAGCCCACGGCUCAACCGUGGAACGGCAUUGGAAACUGGCGGACUUGAAUGUAGCAGAGGAAAGUGGAAUUCCAUGUGUAGCGGUGGAAUGCGUAGAUAUAUGGAGGAACACCAGUGGCGAAAGCGACUUUCUGGGCUAUGAUUGACGCUGAGGCUCGAAAGCGUGGGGAGCGAACAGGAUUAGAUACCCUGGUAGUCCACGCCGUAAACGAUGAGUGCUAAGUGUUGGAGGGUUUCCGCCCUUCAGUGCUGGAGUUAACGCAUUAAGCACUCCGCCUGGGGAUUACGACCGCAAGGUUGAAACUCAAAAGAAUUGACGGGGACCCGCACAAGCGGUGGAGCAUGUGGUUUAAUUCGAAGCAACGCGAAGAACCUUACCAGCUCCUGACAUCUUCUGCCACCUUCAGAGAUGAAGGGUUCCCUUCGGGGACAGAAUGACAGGUGGUGCAUGGUUGUCGUCAGCUCGUGUCGUGAGAUGUUGGGUUAAGUCCCGUAACGGGCGCAAMCCUUAUUGUUAGUUGCCAGCAUUGAGUUGGGCACUCUAGCAAGACUGCCGGUGAUAAACCGGAGGAAGGCGGGGAUGACGUCAAAUCAUCAUGCCCCUUAUGAGCUGGGCUACACACGUGCUACAAUGGAUGGUACAACGAGUGGCGAGACCGUGAGGUUUAGCUAAUCUCCCAAAGCCAUUCUCAGUUCGGAUUGCAGGCUGCAACUCGCCUGCAUGAAGUCGGAAUCGCUAGUAAUCGCGGAUCAGAAUGCCGCGGUGAAUUCGUUCCCGG
RNAcentral lists this ribosomal RNA (852 nucleotides) under uncultured Alloiococcus sp. RNAcentral describes it as "bacterial SSU rRNA". It matches the Rfam family "Bacterial small subunit ribosomal RNA", at positions 526 to 1377 of the family's 1533-position model. The record is from RNAcentral. Lineage: Bacteria; Bacillati; Bacillota; Bacilli; Lactobacillales; Carnobacteriaceae.